This 253-nucleotide ribosomal RNA is filed under the name uncultured bacterium. Its description in RNAcentral is "partial 16S ribosomal RNA". It matches the Rfam family "Bacterial small subunit ribosomal RNA", at positions 524 to 776 of the family's 1533-position model. The record is from RNAcentral.
UACGGAGGGUGCGAGCGUUAAUCGGAAUUACUGGGCGUAAAGCGCACGUAGGUGGUUGGGUAAGUCGGAUGUGAAAGCCCUGGGCUUAACCUGGGAACUGCAUUCGAUACUGUCCGACUAGAGUAUGGGAGAGGGAAGCGGAAUUUCCGGUGUAGCGGUGAAAUGCGUAGAUAUCGGAAGGAACACCAAUGGCGAAGGCAGCUUCCUGGCCCAAUACUGACACUCAGGUGCGAAAGCGUGGGGAUCAAACAGG